RNAcentral lists this ribosomal RNA (414 nucleotides) under Camaenidae sp. CC1. RNAcentral's name for it is "partial 16S ribosomal RNA". It matches the Rfam family "Bacterial large subunit ribosomal RNA", at positions 1808 to 2587 of the family's 2925-position model. Lineage: Eukaryota; Metazoa; Mollusca; Gastropoda; Stylommatophora; Camaenidae. The record is from RNAcentral.
CAAAAACAUAGCUAUUAGAAAUAAUUAAUAGUGAUUUCUGCUCAAUGAAUUUUAAAUAGCCGCAGUACCCUGACUGUGCUAAGGUAGCAUAAUCAUUUGGCUUAUAAUUGAAGUCUGGUAUGAACGAAAAAUUGAAGAGCUACUUUAUCAGUAAUACAAAAUGAAAUUACUUAGUAAGUGAAAAUACUUACAAUUAAAUAAUAGACGAGAAGACCCUUGAAAUUUUAAGAACUAGUAAUAAAGGCUUUUUGUUGGGGCAACAGUGUAACAUAUAAUUUACAUUAUUUACAAGACAUAUAUUUGUUAGUUUAAAUUACUCUAGGGAUAACAGCGUAAUAUAUUAAUGAUUGCGACCUCGAUGUUGGAUUAGGAAGCGAAAACUUAGAAGGUUAGUUGUUGUGCUCUGUUCGAGCA